AGUGAACGCUGGCGGCAGGCCUAAUACAUGCAAGUCGAACGGCAGCACGGCAGAGCUUGCUCUGUGGGUGGCGAGUGGCGGACGGGUGAGGAAUACAUGGGAAUCUGCCCAGUCGUGGGGGAUAACGUAGGGAAACUUACGCUAAUACCGCAUGCGCCCUUCGGGGGAAAGCCGGGGACCUUCGGGCCUGGCGCGAUUGGAUGAGCCCAUGUCGGAUUAGCUAGUUGGCGGGGUAAUGGCCCACCAAGGCGACGAUCCGUAGCUGGUCUGAGAGGAUGAUCAGCCACGCUGGAACUGAGACACGGUCCAGACUCCUACGGGAGGCAGCAGUAGGGAAUAUUGGACAAUGGGCGCAAGCCUGAUCCAGCCAUGCCGCGUGAGUGAAGAAGGCCCUCGGGUUGUAAAGCUCUUUUGUCCGGAAAGAAAAGCGCCGGGUUAAUACCCUGGUGUCCUGACGGUACCGGAAGAAUAAGCACCGGCUAACUUCGUGCCAGCAGCC
This 499-nucleotide ribosomal RNA is filed under the name uncultured bacterium. Its description in RNAcentral is "bacterial SSU rRNA". It matches the Rfam family "Bacterial small subunit ribosomal RNA", at positions 29 to 516 of the family's 1533-position model. The record is from RNAcentral.